Gallus gallus (chicken) is the source of this 1589-nucleotide long non-coding RNA. The record is from Ensembl. Lineage: Eukaryota; Metazoa; Chordata; Aves; Galliformes; Phasianidae.
AGUUAUGAGCAUCACAAGGAAAACUGCUGAUUUGAGUAACAGAAGAAGUACUAAUGAGUGCAGGACAAUAGGCAUAGACAGGCAGGUAAACAAAAAGCAGAAGCAGAAGUGUAAGGUGAGCCACGUUAUCAGCUGUCCCAUAACAAGAGAGCUGGUCCACUUCUGCUCUGUUAUCCACCAGCAUCACGCACUAUACCAUUGAAGUUCAAGGAGGGACCUCAGAAAUGAAACUACUGCAGAGGGAGAGUAAUGUUUUAUUUAAGAUGCCCUGCGAGCACCAUGAAUUUUACAUGACAGAAGCUCCAUCCCACAACAUCCCUAAACCUCUGCCUUUUAGUCAGCAGGGCUGUGAUCCUGCAGCCAACAGAUGUGCUAUCUCCCACUGGGGCCCCUGCCAUGGGGCUGAGUCAUGCUGCUGACUAACAUACCCCUUGGAUCUAGUGCGGGACUCCGAUGGUGUCUAUGGAGGUAUGCCUGGUAAUAAGUAUUCAGAAAGGCAAGCUUUUACAGUAAACCAACCUAUUCAACUCUCGAUUAGCCAUGGAAGAUUAACUGAGUUUGGGAUUAACUGGAAACUUCCUCUGCAUAGCAACCACAGCUACAACACAGUGACAUAUAACACAGGGUGCACGAGCCUUGAGGCCAAGUCCCACCUGGGAGUCCAACAGGCAAAAGCUGUCCUUGCUUUGCACAGAAACCAACAGGUAAAGGACCUGAAUAUGCUCUUACCCCUAUUAAGCUCCAAGCCAGGAGCUGGUUUUAUGUAGGUUGCCCCGUCCCACAUUGUCUGUGACAGCUGAAAGCUGCCAGUAUCAAAGUGAACCAGAAGAUACCACUACACUAAUACAAGAACAUGCUGUGUAGCCUGCAAAACUUUCCAAACUGUGAGGCAGCUGGUGUGCUGACACCACUGCCUAUGUGCUGAGUAAUGAUGUCUCACUGUCUCUUUGUGCUCCCUUAUCUGUCUCCUUCCAUCUGUUGUUCUCUGCCAUCCAUUUGGAUUGUAUGCCAUUCAAAGCAGGUCUUUCUUCUAGCACCCAGCACUAGGAGCUCAUCUGUGACAGUGCACCACCAAAUCAGUCUGAUAACUCACCUAAAUCAGUAACUGGUGAGUUGAUGUUGUACAGGAAUGCGUAUACGAAUGGAUUAAGAAUAGUGUGCUUGGGUGAAAAGCAUGACUCAGAACUGUUACUAGCAUUAUUCUUUUUCACGUCCAUAAAGCUAAGAAAUGAAAGAAAUGUGGGAGGGGGUAGAAAGAGACAAAAAGGCAAAGAGACAGCAGGCUGGCGGGCAGGCAGCUCUCAAACACAAAGGCACUACACGACUGGUACACAGACCAGAUGCCGAGAAGAACUGAGCAUUUGCAACUCCUACUCACAUUCUCAUUUCUGCUUUUACAGUUAUUCACUUUGCAUGCUUCUCCAUUUUGGUUUUGCUUCAUCUUUCACAUAGAUAAACCACAGUCUGGAUCUUAUCUUCAUAUAUCCAAGCGACUUUACUAUCAUAUCAUGGGCACACACAGCUACACCCACAGGUCAAGGCAUCUCCUUUGCUGCUUUGUGUAUGUGAUGAUAGUGCAACUACUCCGG